Molecule: ribosomal RNA, 229 nt
Filed under: uncultured bacterium
Lineage: Bacteria
Description: partial 16S ribosomal RNA
Rfam family: Bacterial small subunit ribosomal RNA
Source: RNAcentral
CAUGUAGGCGGCAUGACAAGUCUGGUGUGAAAUAUCUCGGCUCAACCGAGAAAACGCACUGGAAACUGUCAAGCUUGAGUAUCGGAGGGGAAGCUAGAAUUCCUGGUGUAGGGGUGGAAUCUGUAGAUAUCAGGAAGAAUACCGGUGGCGAAGGCGAGCUUCUGGCCAGAUACUGACGCUGAGAUGCGAAAGCGUGGGGAGCGAACAGGAUUAGAUACCCUGGUAGUCC